RNAcentral lists this ribosomal RNA (1372 nucleotides) under uncultured bacterium. RNAcentral's name for it is "bacterial SSU rRNA". It matches the Rfam family "Bacterial small subunit ribosomal RNA", at positions 28 to 1381 of the family's 1533-position model. The record is from RNAcentral.
GAUAAACGCUGGCGGCGUGCCUAAUACAUGCAAGUCGAGCGAACGGACGAGAAGCUUGCUUCUCUGAUGUUAGCGGCGGACGGGUGAGUAACACGUGGAUAACCUACCUAUAAGACUGGGAUAACUUCGGGAAACCGGAGCUAAUACCGGAUAAUAUUUUGAACCGCAUGGUUCAAAAGUGAAAGACGGUCUUGCUGUCACUUAUAGAUGGAUCCGCGCUGCAUUAGCUAGUUGGUAAGGUAACGGCUUACCAAGGCAACGAUGCAUAGCCGACCUGAGAGGGUGAUCGGCCACACUGGAACUGAGACACGGUCCAGACUCCUACGGGAGGCAGCAGUAGGGAAUCUUCCGCAAUGGGCGAAAGCCUGACGGAGCAACGCCGCGUGAGUGAUGAAGGUCUUCGGAUCGUAAAACUCUGUUAUUAGGGAAGAACAUAUGUGUAAGUAACUGUGCACAUCUUGACGGUACCUAAUCAGAAAGCCACGGCUAACUACGUGCCAGCAGCCGCGGUAAUACGUAGGUGGCAAGCGUUAUCCGGAAUUAUUGGGCGUAAAGCGCGCGUAGGCGGUUUUUUAAGUCUGAUGUGAAAGCCCACGGCUCAACCGUGGAGGGUCAUUGGAAACUGGAAAACUUGAGUGCAGAAGAGGAAAGUGGAAUUCCAUGUGUAGCGGUGAAAUGCGCAGAGAUAUGGAGGAACACCAGUGGCGAAGGCGACUUUCUGGUCUGUAACUGACGCUGAUGUGCGAAAGCGUGGGGAUCAAACAGGAUUAGAUACCCUGGUAGUCCACGCCGUAAACGAUGAGUGCUAAGUGUUAGGGGGUUUCCGCCCCUUAGUGCUGCAGCUAACGCAUUAAGCACUCCGCCUGGGGGGUACGACCGCAAGGUUGAAACUCAAAGGAAUUGACGGGGACCCGCACAAGCGGUGGAGCAUGUGGUUUAAUUCGAAGCAACGCGAAGAACCUUACCAAAUCUUGACAUCCUUUGACAACUCUAGAGAUAGAGCCUUCCCCUUCGGGGGACAAAGUGACAGGUGGUGCAUGGUUGUCGUCAGCUCGUGUCGUGAGAUGUUGGGUUAAGUCCCGCAACGAGCGCAACCCUUAAGCUUAGUUGCCAUCAUUAAGUUGGGCACUCUAAGUUGACUGCCGGUGACAAACCGGAGGAAGGUGGGGAUGACGUCAAAUCAUCAUGCCCCUUAUGAUUUGGGCUACACACGUGCUACAAUGGACAAUACAAAGGGCAGCGAAACCGCGAGGUCAAGCAAAUCCCAUAAAGUUGUUCUCAGUUCGGAUUGUAGUCUGCAACUCGACUACAUGAAGCUGGAAUCGCUAGUAAUCGUAGAUCAGCAUGCUACGGUGAAUACGUUCCCGGGUCU